GCCCCCGUCAUUGGGGAGUAGCCUCUUUCCGCACAGGAAAGGAACGCAUCAACAGACUUGGCUGAGGCCAUGGUGCGCUCGACUCAGGUUUGGCGAGACCUUUGACGCGAUGUCGACACCCGGGUUGGGCGGCGGCAUCGCGUCAUUGUGUUUACCGCCGCCCGACCCC
RNAcentral lists this small RNA (169 nucleotides) under Denitratisoma oestradiolicum. RNAcentral's name for it is "Manganese Mn2+ riboswitch aptamer (yybP-ykoY)". It matches the Rfam family "Manganese Mn2+ riboswitch aptamer (yybP-ykoY)". From Rfam's summary of the family: This RNA was originally discovered in E. coli during a large scale screen and was named SraF. The family was later found to exist upstream of related families of protein genes in many bacteria, including the the yybP and ykoK genes in B. subtilis. Lineage: Bacteria; Pseudomonadati; Pseudomonadota; Betaproteobacteria; Nitrosomonadales; Sterolibacteriaceae. The record is from Rfam by way of RNAcentral.